UCAGAGCGAACGUUAGCGGCGGGCUUAACACAUGCAAGUCGAACGCGAAAGGGAUUCGUCCCCGGUAGCGUGGCGUCCGGGUGAGUAACACGUAGGAAACCUUCCCUCGAGCGGGGGAUAACGUCCCGAAAGGGACGCUAAUACCGCAUGAGCUCACGGCGACUCAGGUCGCAGAGAGAAAAGAUGGCCUCUGUAUACAAGCUAUCACUCGAGGAUGGUCCUGCGGCGCAUCAGCUAGUUGGUGAGGUAACGGCUCACCAAGGCGAAGACGCGUAGCUGGUCUGAGAGGAUGAUCAGCCACACUGGCACUGAAACACGGGCCAGACUCCUACGGGAGGCAGCAGUGGGGAAUAUUGGUCAAUGGGCGCAAGCCUGAACCAGCCACGCCGCGUGAGUGAUGAAGGCCUUCGGGUUGUAAAGCUCUGUGGGGAGGGACGAAAACGGUCCGGAAGAAACGACGGAUCCUUGACGGUACCUCCUUAGCAAGCACCGGCUAACUCUGUGCCAGCAGCCGCGGUAA
Molecule: ribosomal RNA, 520 nt
Filed under: uncultured delta proteobacterium
Lineage: Bacteria; Deltaproteobacteria
Description: bacterial SSU rRNA
Rfam family: Bacterial small subunit ribosomal RNA
Source: RNAcentral